RNAcentral lists this long non-coding RNA (236 nucleotides) under Pelobates cultripes (western spadefoot toad). Lineage: Eukaryota; Metazoa; Chordata; Amphibia; Anura; Pelobatidae. The record is from RNAcentral.
UCAGAACUACAAAUUAUUAUUAUUAUUAUUAUUAUGAUAUUUAUAGAGCACCGUCAAAUUCCGCAGCGCUUUACAAUGGGUGGACGAACAGACAUGGAGUUGUAACCAGACAAGUUGGACACACAGGAACAGAGGGGUUGAGGGCCCUGCUCAAUGAGCUUACAUGCUAGAGGGAGUGGGGUAAAAUGACACAAAAAGGUAAGGAUAGUAUUAGACUAGUGACAGUUGCAGAAGAG